GAUUAACGCUGGCGGCGUGCAUAACACAUGCAAGUCGAACGAUGAAACUCAUUAGAUUUCUUCGGAAUGAAAAUGAAUGGAUUCGUGGCGAACGGGUGAGUAACGCGUGAGUAACCUGCCUUACACAAGGGGAUAGCCUCUGGAAACGGAGAAUAAUACCCUAUGAAACCAGACAAUCGCAUGAUAAUCUGGUCAAAAUGUUUAGUGGUGUAAGAUGGACUUGCGUCUGAUUAGCUAGUUGGUGAGAUAAAAGCUCACCAAGGCAACGAUCAGUAGCCGGCUUGGAGGGGUGGACGGCAAUAUUGGGACAGAGACCAGGCCCAGACUCCGGCGGAAGGCGGGAGGGGGGAUUUUUGAACAGGGGGGGAACCCCUAAGGCACCGGCGCCGGGUAAUUAAGAAGCCUUGGGGUUUAAAAAAAUUUUUUGUAAAGAAAAAAAAUGACAGUACUAUACAAAAAAGGCCCGGCUAAUUACGUG
Molecule: ribosomal RNA, 478 nt
Filed under: uncultured bacterium
Lineage: Bacteria
Description: partial 16S ribosomal RNA
Rfam family: Bacterial small subunit ribosomal RNA
Source: RNAcentral